AGUGAACGCUGGCGGUAGGCCUAACACAUGCAAGUCGAACGGCAGCACAGUAAGAGCUUGCUCUUACGGGUGGCGAGUGGCGGACGGGUGAGGAAUACAUCGGAAUCUACUUUUUCGUGGGGGAUAACGUAGGGAAACUUACGCUAAUACCGCAUACGACCUACGGGUGAAAGCAGGGGAUCUUCGGACCUUGCGCGAUUGAAUGAGCCGAUGUCGGAUUAGCUAGUUGGCGGGGUAAAGGCCCACCAAGGCGACGAUCCGUAGCUGGCCUGAGAGGAUGAUCAGCCCCACUGGAACUGAGACACGGUCCAGACUCCUACGGGAGGCAGCAGUGGGGAAUAUUGGACAAUGGGCGCAAGCCUGAUCCAGCCAUACCGCGUGGGUGAAGAAGGCCUUCGGGUUGUAAAGCCCUUUUGUUGGGAAAGAAAAGCAGCAGGUUAAUACCCCGCUGUUCUGACGGUACCCAAAGAAUAAGCACCGGCUAACUUCGUG
Molecule: ribosomal RNA, 492 nt
Filed under: uncultured bacterium
Lineage: Bacteria
Description: partial 16S ribosomal RNA
Rfam family: Bacterial small subunit ribosomal RNA
Source: RNAcentral